RNAcentral lists this ribosomal RNA (497 nucleotides) under uncultured bacterium. RNAcentral describes it as "partial 16S ribosomal RNA". It matches the Rfam family "Bacterial small subunit ribosomal RNA", at positions 28 to 507 of the family's 1533-position model. The record is from RNAcentral.
GAUGAACGCUGGCGGCGUGCCUAAUACAUGCAAGUCGAGCGAACGGACGAGAAGCUUGCUUUUCUGAUGUUAGCGGCGGACGGGUGAGUAACACGUGGAUAACCUACCUAUAAGACUGGGAUAACUUCGGGAAACCGGAGCUAAUACCGGAUAAUAUUUUGAACCGCAUGGUUCAAAAGUGAAAGACGGUCUUGCUGUCACUUAUAGAUGGAUCCGCGCUGCAUUAGCUAGUUGGUAAGGUAACGGCUUACCAAGGCAACGAUGCAUAGCCGACCUGAGAGGGUGAUCGGCCACACUGGAACUGAGACACGGUCCAGACUCCUACGGGAGGCAGCAGUAGGGAAUCUUCCGCAAUGGGCGAAAGCCUGACGGAGCAACGCCGCGUGAGUGAUGAAGGUCUUCGGAUCGUAAAACUCUGUUAUUAGGGAAGAACAUAUGCGUAAGUAACUGUGCACAUCUUGACGGUACCUAAUCAGAAAGCCACGGCUAGCUACGUG